Cyanistes caeruleus (blue tit) is the source of this 1321-nucleotide non-coding RNA. The record is from RefSeq and is a predicted model, not a curated record. NCBI's taxonomy places the organism in Eukaryota, Metazoa, Chordata, Aves, Passeriformes, Paridae.
UGAAUCCCACUGGCAUUUUGUAAGCUUGUGAGGGUACUAACUUGCCUUUGUGCUACCUCUUUUCAAACUUUUAUGCUCACUGAAAGAGCAAAUUCACCCUCCUUUUUCCCUGUCCUCAAUAUCUGUUUUCUAUGUCUACUCUACUUGUUUUCCAGAGGCCUCCACUUUUUAUCCUGGAGAUACGAAGGAAAUGCCACUGUCAAGAGAUUAAUUUUCUGUUCAUAGUCUUUGAUUCUAUCUUGCUUUUAUCCCUAGGGCUGGGGACAAUGGGCCAAGGCAUUGUGACUUCUCUGGUUAAGGCCAACAUACCUGUGGUAGCCCUGGAGCAGAAUCUGGAGUAUCUGAACAAGGGAAGAAAAGCUGUGAUGCUCCUUUUGGAACGGGAGGCUAUGAAAAUGGAGGAGGGUGCCCAGACCCUGGAUUUCCAUAACCCUGCACGUCUCCAGUUCACUGUGGACUUUGAUCUGAUGCGUGAUGUAGAUCUCGUCAUUGAGGCUGUGUUUGAGAACAUGGCACUAAAGAAGGAAAUAUUCCACAAGCUGUCAAAGAUCUGCAAGCCAGGAGCCUUGCUGUGCACAAACACAUCAGCCCUGAACAUUGAUGAAAUAGCUUCUGCCACGAGCCGCCCACAGCAGGUCAUUGGCACCCACUUCUUCUCCCCUGCCCACGUGAUGAGGCUGCUGGAAAUCAUCUAUGGCCGCCACACGUCCCCCACUGCCAUCGCCACUGCUAUGCAGCUGGCCAAAGCCCUGAAAAAAGUUGGAGUGGUGGUAGGGAACUGUUUUGGGUUUGUUGGGAAUCGCAUGAUGUUUCCGUAUGUACAGCAAGCAGUUUUCCUUUUAGAGGAAGGAAGCAAACCAGAAGCAGUAGAUCAGGUUCUUGAAGAUUUUGGGUUUAAGAUAGGCCCUUUCCGCAUGUCUGACCUUGCCGGGCUGGAUGUGGGCUGGAGGUCUCGGAAGGACCAGGGCCUGACUGGGCCGUCCCUCGCUGCAGGCACACCGGCCCGGCAGCGGCACGGCCAGCGCUACAGCCCCCUGCCAGACCUCCUGUGUGAGCAUGGCCGCUUCGGCCAGAAAACCGGCAAAGGCUGGUACCAGUACGAGAAGGCUGGGGGCAGGACAGCCACGCCAGACCCAUGGCUCCACAACUUCCUGUCCCAGUACAGAGACACCCAUAGCAUCAAGACCCGCUUUAUAGACCAGGAGGAAAUCCUGGAGCGGUGUCUGUUUUCCCUCAUCAACGAGGGGUUUGCCAUCCUGGCUGAGGGAAUAGCAUCAGGCCCAGAGCACCUGGAUGUCAUUUACAUCAAUGGCUACGGGUG